Salvia splendens (bonfire salvia) is the source of this 3309-nucleotide RNA transcript. It is a transcript of the gene named homeobox-DDT domain protein RLT3, with no coding region annotated. The record is from RefSeq and is a predicted model, not a curated record. NCBI's taxonomy places the organism in Eukaryota, Viridiplantae, Streptophyta, Magnoliopsida, Lamiales, Lamiaceae. The transcript is spliced from 10 exons.
UAGAGAAUAAGUUGAGAAAUAUUCCAAGCAAAAACCCAAAACCCUACCUGUCAAAAAAAUAAAAUAGUUAAAAAGUGAAAACCCCGUCCUCCAUUUCCCAGCUCUCAUACUCAUAAUCUUGUUAGAGAAGGAAACACAACACAGAGAUAGACUGAGCUCCUCAUUCACCACUGCCCCUAAAAUGACUUAUUCAGCUCAAUAAAGCUUUGGAACACAACUUAUUAUGGUAAACAAAAAGGGAAAGAAAAUCCGGCAGAAGUGUAAUCAGGAAUUCGGAAAUGGCGAAGGCAUUCACAAUUCGCGAAGCAGAGCUUCUGAUGAGAAGACGAAGAGCAAGCGGAAUCAGCAUGCAUUUAUGAAUGAGAAUGAUUGCAGGCACCGGCUUCAAGAGCUUUUGUACAGUCCGGAGGAUAUUUUCGCCAAAAUUUUUAGGAAGGACGGUCCUGCGCUGGGCGAUGAAUUUGGUCCUCUUCCGUCUAAUGCUUUUCCAGGCGCUCCGAGAAUGUUUCAUCUAGAAGAGAUCCGGCAUCAUAAAAGAAGAAAGGUUUUAAUGCAUGCCAUGUCAGACUACGAAACUUGUUGUGAGGGUAGCCCACAUGCUCAAAGGUAUGGCAUGGGGAAAGGCCCAAUGACUACACAUGGUGGCCCAGGAAAGAAAUAUGGCAUGGGGAAAGGUUUAAUGAAUAAAGACAGUGUUCGAAGACAUAAAUAUGGAAUCGGGAAAGGUUUGGUGAUAUGUACAAAUCCUGGUUCAAGAGAUUCUGAAUACAGUUCCUGUAGUAGUGGAAGUGUCAUUCAGAAGAAAAAGAAACAAGUGCAGCCAAAGGAGUCUAUUCUGAAAAAAUUGGCAAACAGAGAAAGGGCUAGGAAGGCUGCAUUGAGAUGUAGAAAGGUGGUGGAACCCCAGAAAAUCCAGAAGCGGAAGAAGCCUCGCAAGGAUAAAUGUGAACUUGCUCUUGAAGAUGUGAAGUGUAUAGAGAACACAGAAUUUGAGAUGUUACUAGAUGAUGAGGAACUGGAGCUUAGAGAAUUACAAGUAGGACCCAAUCCGUUAUCUUGUUCUACUCAUUUUACAACCAGUGGUUCUCAUGGUUGUUCCCUUUGCAAAGACUUGCUUCCCAAAUUUCCUCCAAGUUCUGUUGCAAUGAAGCUACCUUUGUCAGUACAACCAUGGGCUUCCUCCCCAGAAUUAGUAAACAAACUCUUUAAGCUUGAACAUCAUGGUGUAUAGUUUGGAGUUCUGGCAGAAGUCACUGAACCUACUGACAUGGAUAGAAAUAUUAUGUCAGGUGUUGACUGCAGCUGGUUUUUGUUCUAAGCUUAAUAUGACAAGAAAAGCAGCAUGCUGUAAGGAAGGCAAUGUCAUGGAUAAGUACGGCUUAAGUCCGCGGACAUUGAAGGGAGAAUUAUUCAGUAUUUUGUUGACCCAAGGAAGUAAUGGAUUGGAAGUCUCUGAGUUGGCAAAAUCUUCAAGUGUAAGUCCGUACUAUAUACAAGAAAUUUUACAACAUCCUACUGGGAAAAAGAAAGAAAUAAAUUUACAGCAACUUCAAAUAUUCAUAGGUAGAACUUGGCUGUGAAUUUACUUUUUCCAUAGAUUGUUGAUUUAAACCUCACCGAUACAUUCCAAAACUUGGAGAAUUUGAUUAUCUCAGCUCUCUCCAAUGAUAUAACAUUGUUUGAAAGGAUUUCCUUGUCUGGAUAUUGUUUGCGGAUACAUACUGUUGAAAAGGAAUCUGCAGAUUUUCCAUCUGAUUCUGAGGAUUUAGGGUGCGGAGAUGACGUUUCUGAAGUUACUGGUGGAAAUUAUGCAAGUGAUUCUGACUACGAGUCCAGGGAUACAAGUCUCUCCAAAAGUGAUGCUAGUAAAUCACAUACUAACCUUCUGACUGUAUACAAUGAGAUUGAUGAGAGCCAUCCUGGUGAACUGUGGCUACUAGGACUGAUGGAGGGUGAAUACUCAGACUUAAGCAUCGAUGAGAAGCUCAAUGCCUUGACAGCAUUGAUUGAUCUAAUUGGUGCUGGAUUCAGCAUCGGAAUGGAGGUCCCCUUGACCUCAAGUGCAGAAUGUCCUCCAAAUAUCAAUCGUUAUGGUUGUGGUGCUAAAUUAAAGAGAUCAAUGGUCAAAUCUGUGCCACUAGGAAGUUGUGAUUUGCAAAGAUCUAGUGGACUCGACAUAAAUACACCAGAACCAAUUGAUUCCUUGGUUCUCAUGUCAAAGAUUGAUGGCAUGGAGAAACAGAUGAAUAUGAAAAACAUUGCAGACCAAACGGAAGCAGAUGAAUUUUUACACCCUAUGCAGUCAAUAUACCUUGGCUCUGAUCGCAGGUACAAUAGAUACUAUUCUUGGGCCCUUGUGAUGAAUUUGAUCCUGGACACAGGAGAAUUUAUUUUGAGUCUUCAGAAGAUGGCCACUGGGAGAUGAUUGACACUAAAGAGGCUUUGCAUUCUUUGCUUGUCUACUUUGGACCAAAGGAGUGCUCGGGAGGCUCGCCUUCUAGCUUCAUUGGAACAACGAGAAGCAAUUCUGAACCAAAUGAUGUCCAGUGCACCAACUGGUAGUGAAAAUAGUCAUCUGCCCCAGCCUGAAUAUAGCUCCUAACCAGUGUCUGACGUAGACAACCGCUCGAGCUUGGGGGAAAUGCAAAAUGAACUUCCUGCUUCUAUUGACAUUGCAGUUGUAGAAGCUGGGAUAAAAGGAGAAAAGCUUUUUGAAAACUAUGACAAUUCCCAAGCUUUUGAUGCCCAGAUAUGGAAGUCAUUUUACUCAGAACUCAACAGUGUUAAAAAUGGACAGAAGGCAUACCUUGACUCACUCAGAAGAUGUGAUCGAUGCCAGGACCUCUACUGGAGAGACGAAAAGCAUUGUAGAUUCUGUCAUAUGACAUUUGAGCUUGAUUUUGAUAUAGAGGAAAGAUAUGCUAUUCAUUCCGUAACUUGCCAGGCAAAGAUUAAUGUUAGAAGAUGCCGAAGGCAGAAAGUUCUACCUUCGCAACUGCAGGCACUCAAAGCUGCAAUCUAUGCGAUUGAGGUUGGUCGUCAUGACUAAAAUGUUUUCUGCUCAUAGCAUUGGUACAACGAGAAAAUAUGUUUUCCUCGAGUUAGUUUUUGUGCCAACUGCUGACAGAUAUGUUGCAGUUUUUCAUAUGCAUAUUUGACUGGUUAACACCUAUUCCUUUUUUGGAAUGCUUGCAUAACUGAUCAUAUUUCCUAAUGGAAUUUAUUAUGUUACUUUUUUAGAUGGAUGAACGAUUAAGAAAGGCAUAGUGAUCCUGUUAAUAGAUGGAAAUUCAUGUUUUUUGAUUCUUA